GGCGCCGUACCCAAGUGGUAAGGGAGAGGUCUGCAAAACCUCGAUGCACCGGUUCGAUUCCGGUCGGCGCCUCCA
RNAcentral lists this transfer RNA (75 nucleotides) under uncultured Armatimonadota bacterium. RNAcentral's name for it is "uncultured Armatimonadetes bacterium tRNA-Cys-GCA". It matches the Rfam family "tRNA". From Rfam's summary of the family: Transfer RNA (tRNA) molecules are approximately 80 nucleotides in length. The record is from RNAcentral. Lineage: Bacteria; Bacillati; Armatimonadota. RNAcentral also lists the same sequence under 1 other name.